CCAUCAGAACUCCGCAGUUAAAUGUGUUUAGGCAAGAGUCAUACUGAGAUGGGUGACCUCCUGGGAAGUUCUCGUGUUGUACUCCUUUU
RNAcentral lists this ribosomal RNA (89 nucleotides) under Paphiopedilum callosum. The record is from RNAcentral. Lineage: Eukaryota; Viridiplantae; Streptophyta; Magnoliopsida; Asparagales; Orchidaceae.